AAACCGCCCAGAGGUAAACGGGUGGAUCCGCAAAGUCGGCCCGCGGAAUUCAGCGCGGCGCGCGGACCUGGGCUGUCGCGGUUCGGGAUCCCUGGGACCCAGCCGCGGCGUCGUUCGGGUCUCCGCCGCGUGCACUUUCCGCGGGCAGAGUGCCACAACCGGUUCGGCGGCGGCUAUAAGUCCGGGGGGUUGUCGGUGGGGGCGCUCGCGUCCCUACCAGCCCUUCGGAGGCGAGCCGCCGGCGGACCGAGGGAACGCCGCGCGCUUCGAGGCCACCCUCCCCUCCGGGUGAGUUCGACUGGGAGAGACUGGGCAACCGUGUCUCCCGACCGCUCAGCCGCGAUCGGCGAGGGCCUGGCCGGGCGCGCACGACAAGGUUGGUGGCGAGUCUGUCGGCCUUCCACCCGACCCGUCUUGAA
This 419-nucleotide ribosomal RNA is filed under the name Epiphragmophora sp. 4 MS-2014. RNAcentral describes it as "partial 28S ribosomal RNA". The record is from RNAcentral. Lineage: Eukaryota; Metazoa; Mollusca; Gastropoda; Stylommatophora; Epiphragmophoridae.